Molecule: non-coding RNA, 21 nt
Filed under: Arabidopsis thaliana (thale cress)
Lineage: Eukaryota; Viridiplantae; Streptophyta; Magnoliopsida; Brassicales; Brassicaceae
Source: RNAcentral
UGAAAAUUUCAUACCUUUCCU